This 396-nucleotide ribosomal RNA is filed under the name Buchananella hordeovulneris. RNAcentral describes it as "bacterial SSU rRNA". It matches the Rfam family "Bacterial small subunit ribosomal RNA", at positions 358 to 752 of the family's 1533-position model. Lineage: Bacteria; Bacillati; Actinomycetota; Actinomycetes; Actinomycetales; Actinomycetaceae. The record is from RNAcentral.
UGUGAUUUGCCAAUGGGCGCAAGCCUGAUGCAGCGACGCCGCGUGAGGGAUGACGGCCUUCGGGUUGUAAACCUCUUUCAGUAGGGACGCAGGCCUCAGUUUUUGUUGGGGUUGACUUUACUUACAGAAGAAGCGCCGGCUAACUACGUGCCAGCAGCCGCGGUAAUACGUAGGGCGCAAGCGUUGUCCGGAAUUAUUGGGCGUAAAGAGCUCGUAGGCGGUUUGUCGCGUCUGUCGUGAAAACCCACAGCUUAACUGUGGGCUUGCGGUGGGUACGGGCAGGCUUGAGUGCGGUAGGGGAGACUGGAAUUCCUGGUGUAGCGGUGGAAUGCACAGAUAUCAGGAGGAACACCCGGUGGCGAAGGCGGGUCUCUGGGCCGUUACUGACCUGAGAGA